RNAcentral lists this ribosomal RNA (750 nucleotides) under uncultured Fusobacterium sp. RNAcentral's name for it is "bacterial SSU rRNA". It matches the Rfam family "Bacterial small subunit ribosomal RNA", at positions 98 to 865 of the family's 1533-position model. The record is from RNAcentral. Lineage: Bacteria; Fusobacteriati; Fusobacteriota; Fusobacteriia; Fusobacteriales; Fusobacteriaceae.
GCGGACGGGUGAGUAACGCGUAAAGAACUUGCCUCACAGAUAGGGACAACAUUUGGAAACGAAUGCUAAUACCUGAUAUUAUGAUUUUAGGGCAUCCUAGAAUUAUGAAAGCUAUAUGCGCUGUGAGAGAGCUUUGCGUCCCAUUAGCUAGUUGGAGAGGUAACGGCUCACCAAGGCGAUGAUGGGUAGCCGGCCUGAGAGGGUGAUCGGCCACAAGGGGACUGAGACACGGCCCUUACUCCUACGGGAGGCAGCAGUGGGGAAUAUUGGACAAUGGACCAAGAGUCUGAUCCAGCAAUUCUGUGUGCACGAUGAAGUUUUUCGGAAUGUAAAGUGCUUUCAGUUGGGAAGAAAAAAAUGACGGUACCAACAGAAGAAGUGACGGCUAAAUACGUGCCAGCAGCCGCGGUAAUACGUAUGUCACAAGCGUUAUCCGGAUUUAUUGGGCGUAAAGCGCGUCUAGGUGGUUAUAUAAGUCUGAUGUGAAAAUGCAGGGCUCAACUCUGUAUUGCGUUGGAAACUGUGUAACUAGAGUACUGGAGAGGUAAGCGGAACUACAAGUGUAGAGGUGAAAUUCGUAGAUAUUUGUAGGAAUGCCGAUGGGGAAGCCAGCUUACUGGACAGAUACUGACGCUGAAGCGCGAAAGCGUGGGUAGCAAACAGGAUUAGAUACCCUGGUAGUCCACGCCGUAAACGAUGAUUACUAGGUGUUGGGGGUCGAACCUCAGCGCCCAAGCAAACGCGAUAAGU